AUAUUUUGGGUAGUAGAAGCAGUAGUUACAAGGGUAGUGGUGUCUUUUGUGGUGGUGGUGGCACCUGCUGCAGUUGUUCAUAUUUGGGGUGCAGGAGUAGGGAGGGUAGGAUCAGUUGGAGAAUUUACAGGGAAAAAUGGAGGUCCAGGUGGAUAGGGUCUUGGUCGGGAAGGAGGCUGUGGAUAACCUGGGGCAUCAGGAUGGAGUGGUGGACCUUAGGGUUGAGGAGGGGGUGGUGGAACAAAUCCUGGGCCAAAAGGUUGAGGAGGAGCCAGCGGUCCAGGUGGAUAGGGUCUUGGUUGGGAAGGUGGCUGUGGAUAACCUGGGCCAUAAGGAG
This 337-nucleotide long non-coding RNA is filed under the name Homo sapiens (human). RNAcentral describes it as "HSALNT0320115". The record is from RNAcentral. Lineage: Eukaryota; Metazoa; Chordata; Mammalia; Primates; Hominidae.